RNAcentral lists this ribosomal RNA (433 nucleotides) under uncultured bacterium. RNAcentral's name for it is "partial 16S ribosomal RNA". It matches the Rfam family "Bacterial small subunit ribosomal RNA", at positions 29 to 507 of the family's 1533-position model. The record is from RNAcentral.
AACGAACGCUGGCGGCAUGCCUAACACAUGCAAGUCGAACGAAGUCUUCGGACUUAGUGACGCACGGGUGCGUAACGCGUGGGAAUCUGCCCUUGGGUACGGAAUAACUCAGAGAAAUUUGUGCUAAUACCGUAUAAUGUCUUCGGACCAAAGAUUUAUCGCCCAAGGAUGAGCCCGCGUAAGAUUAGCUAGUUGGUGGGGUAAAAGCCUACCAAGGCGACGAUCUUUAGCUGGUCUGAGAGGAUGAUCAGCCACACUGGGACUGAGACACGGCCCAGACUCCUACGGGAGGCAGCAGUGGGGAAUAUUGGACAAUGGGCGAAAGCCUGAUCCAGCAAUGCCGCGUGAGUGAUGAAGGCCCUAGGGUUGUAAAGCUCUUUUAACAGGGAUGAUAAUGACAGUACCUGGAGAAUAAGCGCCGGCUAACUCCGUG